This 308-nucleotide unclassified non-coding RNA is filed under the name Mycenaceae sp. RNAcentral describes it as "partial contains 5.8S ribosomal RNA, internal transcribed spacer 2, and large subunit ribosomal RNA". The record is from RNAcentral. Lineage: Eukaryota; Fungi; Basidiomycota; Agaricomycetes; Agaricales; Mycenaceae.
CGCACCUUGCACCCUUUGGUAUUCCGAAGGGUAUGCCUGUUUGAGUGUCAUUUAACUCCUCAACCUCCAGGCUUGAUUGUCCUUCGGAGGCUUGGAUGUGGGAGUCUGCGGGCUGCGACAAGCGGUCGGCUCUCCUGAAAUGCAUUAGCUGGGGUUAAGGCCCUUGCCUAUUGGUGUGAUAAUUAUCAUCGCCGACGGGUCCAAGGCUUUGAAAGCCCUGCUUCCAAUUGUCUUCGGACAGCUUCGCUAUCGAAGCUUCUAUUGACCAUUGUGACCUCAAAUCAGGUAGGAUUACCCGCUGAACUUAA